This 396-nucleotide ribosomal RNA is filed under the name uncultured bacterium. RNAcentral describes it as "partial 16S ribosomal RNA". It matches the Rfam family "Bacterial small subunit ribosomal RNA", at positions 523 to 918 of the family's 1533-position model. The record is from RNAcentral.
AUACGGAGGGUGCAAGCGUUAAUCGGAAUUACUGGGCGUAAAGCGCACGCAGGCGGUCAAUUAAGUCAGAUGUGAAAGCCCCGAGCUUAACUUGGGAAUUGCAUCUGAAACUGGUUGGCUAGAGUCUUGUCGAGGGGGGUAGAAUUCCACGUGUCGCGGUGAAAUGCGUAGAGAUGUGGAGGAAUACCGGUGGCGAAGGCGGCCCCCUGGACAAAGACUGACGCUCAGGUGCGAAAGCGUGGGGAGCAAACAGGAUUAGAUACCCUGGUAGUCCACGCUGUAAACGAUGUCGAUUUAGAGGUUGUGGUCUUGAACUGUGGCUUCUGGAGCUAACGCGUUAAAUCGACCGCCUGGGGAGUACGGCCGCAAGGUUAAAACUCAAAUGAAUUGACGGGG